GAUCCUGGCUCAGGAUGAACGCUAGCUACAGGCUUAACACAUGCAAGUCGAGGGGCAGCAUGGUCUUAGCUUGCUAAGGCUGAUGGCGACCGGCGCACGGGUGAGUAACACGUAUCCAACCUGCCGAUUAUUCCGGGAUAGCCUUUCGAAAGAAAGAUUAAUACUGGAUAGCAUAACGAGAAGGCAUCUUCUUGUUAUUAAAGAAUUUCGAUAAUCGAUGGGGAUGCGUUCCA
RNAcentral lists this ribosomal RNA (233 nucleotides) under uncultured bacterium. Its description in RNAcentral is "partial 16S ribosomal RNA". It matches the Rfam family "Bacterial small subunit ribosomal RNA", at positions 15 to 240 of the family's 1533-position model. The record is from RNAcentral.